This 602-nucleotide ribosomal RNA is filed under the name Hepatozoon canis. RNAcentral's name for it is "SSU rRNA". It matches the Rfam family "Eukaryotic small subunit ribosomal RNA", at positions 221 to 811 of the family's 1831-position model. The record is from RNAcentral. Lineage: Eukaryota; Apicomplexa; Hepatozoidae.
GCCAGUUCAUGCUUUUACAGUAUGAAAAUUGGUGAUUUAUAAUAACUUAGCAAAUCGCAAAGUGAAAACAGGCGAUAAAUCAUUCAAGUUUCUGACCUAUCAGCUUUCGACGGUAUGGUAUUGGCUUACCGUGGCAGUGACGGUUAACGGGGGAUUAGGGUUCGAUUCCGGAGAGGGAGCCUGAGAAACGGCUACCACAUCUAAGGAAGGCAGCAGGCGCGCAAAUUACCCAAUUCUAACAGUUUGAGAGAGGUAGUAACAAGAAAUAACAAUACAAGGCAGUUAAAAUGCUUUGUAAUUGGAAUGAUAGAAAUUUAAACCCUUUUUAAAGUAUCAAUUGGAGGGCAAGUCUGGUGCCAGCAGCCGCGGUAAUUCCAGCUCCAAUAGCGUAUAUUAAAAUUGUUGCAGUUAAAAAGCUCGUAGUUGAAGUUCUGCUGAAAGUAACCGGUCUGCUUUUAAUAAAAGUGGUAUCUUGGUAUGUAUUUAGCAAUGAUGUCCUUUGAAGUGUUUUUUACUUUAUUGUAAUAAAGCAUAUUCAGGACUUUUACUUUGAGAAAAUUAGAGUGUUUCUAGCAGGCUGACGCUUUGAAUACUGCAGCAUG